This 429-nucleotide ribosomal RNA is filed under the name Verrucomicrobiota bacterium. RNAcentral's name for it is "Verrucomicrobia bacterium partial 16S ribosomal RNA". It matches the Rfam family "Bacterial small subunit ribosomal RNA", at positions 355 to 776 of the family's 1533-position model. Lineage: Bacteria; Pseudomonadati; Verrucomicrobiota. The record is from RNAcentral.
UAGGGAAUCUUCGGCAAUGGGGGGAACCCUGACCGAGCAACGCCGCGUGAGUGAAGAAGGUUUUCGGAUCGUAAAGCUCUGUUGUUAAGGAAGAACGAGUGUGAGAAUGGAAAGUUCAUGCUGUGACGGUACUUAACCAGAAAGGGACGGCUAACUACGUGCCAGCAGCCGCGGUAAUACGUAGGUCCCGAGCGUUGUCCGGAUUUAUUGGGCGUAAAGCGAGCGCAGGCGGUUAGAAAAGUCUGAAGUGAAAGGCAGUGGCUCAACCAUUGUAGGCUUUGGAAACUGUUUAACUUGAGUGCAGAAGGGGAGAGUGGAAUUCCAUGUGUAGCGGUGAAAUGCGUAGAUAUAUGGAGGAACACCGGUGGCGAAAGCGGCUCUCUGGUCUGUAACUGACGCUGAGGCUCGAAAGCCAGGGGAGCGAACGGG